AAAAGUCGUAACAAGGUUUCCGUAGGUGAACCUGCGGAAGGAUCAUUAACACUUUUUAUUAUUUUGUUUUUUUUCUAAAACAAAAUUUAAAACCCCACAAUUUUGGAUGAAUUUAAUUUAUUUAUUUUUUAUUUUAUUUUUUUUAUUAUAACCCUAUUAUUUGACUAACAUUUUUAAUUAAUUAUUAAAAAUUAAAAAAACAACUCUUAACAACGGAUAUCUUGGCUCUCG
This 231-nucleotide unclassified non-coding RNA is filed under the name fungal sp. Its description in RNAcentral is "partial internal transcribed spacer region". The stretch from base 1 to 48 matches the Rfam family "Eukaryotic small subunit ribosomal RNA", at positions 1784 to 1831 of the family's 1831-position model. The record is from RNAcentral. Lineage: Eukaryota; Fungi.